CCCUUAGAUGUUCUGGGCCGCACGCGCGCUACACUGACGAAUGCAACGAGCUUAUAACCUUGGCCGAAAGGUCUGGGUAAUCUCCAAAUUUCGUCGUGAUGGGGAUAGAUUAUUGCAAUUAUUAAUCUUCAACGAGGAAUGCCUAGUAAGCGCAAGUCAUCAGCUUGCGUUGAUUACGUCCCUGCCCUUUGUACACACCGCCCGUCGCUCCUACCGAUUGAAUGGUCCGGUGAAGCGCUCGGACCGCGGCCUCUUGACGGUUUUCCGUAGAUUGGCUGUGGGAAGUUCGUUAAACCUUAUCAUUUAGAGGAAGGAGAAGUCGUAACA
RNAcentral lists this ribosomal RNA (327 nucleotides) under uncultured eukaryote. Its description in RNAcentral is "partial 18S ribosomal RNA". It matches the Rfam family "Eukaryotic small subunit ribosomal RNA", at positions 1470 to 1796 of the family's 1831-position model. The record is from RNAcentral.